Molecule: ribosomal RNA, 308 nt
Filed under: Priestia megaterium
Lineage: Bacteria; Bacillati; Bacillota; Bacilli; Caryophanales; Bacillaceae
Description: bacterial LSU rRNA
Rfam family: Bacterial large subunit ribosomal RNA
Source: RNAcentral
ACCCGACACAGGCAGACGAGGAGAGAAGCCUAAGGUGAUCGAGAGAACUCUCGUUAAGGAACUCGGCAAAAUGACCCCGUAACUUCGGGAGAAGGGGUGCUCUGGUAGGGUGUAUAGCCCGAGAGAACCACAGUGAAUAGGCCCAGACGACUGUUUAGCAAAAACACAGGUCUCUGCGAAGCCGCAAGCCGAAGUAUAGGGGCUGACGCCUGCCCGGUGCUGGAAGAAUUAGAGGAGGGGUUAUCCUUUGGGAGAAGCUCUGAAUCGAAGCCCCAGUAAUCGGCGGCCGUAACUAUUACGGUCCUAAG